RNAcentral lists this ribosomal RNA (253 nucleotides) under uncultured bacterium. RNAcentral's name for it is "partial 16S ribosomal RNA". It matches the Rfam family "Bacterial small subunit ribosomal RNA", at positions 524 to 776 of the family's 1533-position model. The record is from RNAcentral.
GACGAAGGGGGCUAGCGUUGUUCGGAAUCACUGGGCGUAAAGCGCACGUAGGCGGAUUUGUCAGUCAGGGGUGAAAUCCCGGGGCUCAACCUCGGAACUGCCUUUGAUACAGCAAGUCUUGAGUUCGAGAGAGGUGGGUGGAAUUCCUAGUGUAGAGGUGAAAUUCGUAGAUAUUAGGAAGAACACCGGUGGCGAAGGCGGCCCACUGGCUCGAUACUGACGCUGAGGUGCGAAAGCGUGGGGAGCAAACAGG